Molecule: long non-coding RNA, 329 nt
Filed under: Musa acuminata (dwarf banana)
Lineage: Eukaryota; Viridiplantae; Streptophyta; Magnoliopsida; Zingiberales; Musaceae
Description: long non-coding RNA (MACU_LNC003085)
Source: RNAcentral
GUUGUUUAGGAGCAUCCAACCACUAUCAGCAUCUUUUAAGUGUCAGAUGCAAGCCCUUGUAUAAUUUCUAUCUGAAUAAUAUGCCUUGGUCAACAUCUCAGGCAUAGACAUUGCUAUUAUCCUGCUACGAAUCUGAGUCAGAGUCGUCUUAUGGCGCGAAUAUUUCUGAAGAACAAACUUCGCCUUUGAGAUAACUACGCAUCUAGUGGAGAUCUGGUCCAUCUGGAUCCAUCCAUGCAUCUGGCUUCAAUUGUGUUAGCACAUAAUGACAACUAGCUGAAUUUUGUGUGGGAAACUUUAGCAUCUCUGAUGCAUCGUAUGGAACAAAU